CCAAUAGCGUAUAUUAAAGUUGUUGCAGUUAAAAAGCUCGUAGUUGAAUUUCGGGAUCAAGGGAUCGGUCAUGCCUUGGUAUGUACUGGUUUUAUUGGUUCUCACCUUCUAAAGAACCAUAAUGUCAUUUAUUUGAUGUUAUGGGGAAUUAGGACUGUUACCUUGAAAAAAUUAGAGUGUUUAAAGCAAGCUUACGCUUGAAUACAUUAGCAUGGAAUAAUGAAAUAGGACAUCAGAUUCUAUUUUGUUGGUUUCUAGGAUCGAUGUAAUGAUUAAUAGGGAUAGUUGGGGGCAUUAGUAUUCAAUUGUCAGAGGUGAAAUUCUUGGAUUUAUUGAAGACUAACUAAUGCGAAAGCAUUUGCCAAGGAUGUUUUCAUUAAUCAAGAACGAAAGUUAGGGGAUCGAAGACGAUCAGAUACCGUCGUAGUCUUAACCAUAAACUAUGCCGACUAGGGAUCGGAUGAUGUUAAUUUUUUAAUGACUCAUUCGGCACCUUACG
This 499-nucleotide unclassified non-coding RNA is filed under the name uncultured Glomeromycotina. Its description in RNAcentral is "SSU rRNA". It matches the Rfam family "Eukaryotic small subunit ribosomal RNA", at positions 591 to 1092 of the family's 1831-position model. Lineage: Eukaryota; Fungi; Glomeromycota. The record is from RNAcentral.